RNAcentral lists this transfer RNA (72 nucleotides) under Sus scrofa (pig). It matches the Rfam family "tRNA". Rfam says of the family: Transfer RNA (tRNA) molecules are approximately 80 nucleotides in length. The record is from Rfam by way of RNAcentral. Lineage: Eukaryota; Metazoa; Chordata; Mammalia; Artiodactyla; Suidae.
UCCUGGUGGUCUAGUGGUUAAGGAUACAACAUUGUCAUUGUUGUGGCACAGGUUCAAUCCCUGACCCAGGAA